AUUGAACGCUGGCGGCAUGCCUUACACAUGCAAGUCGAACGGCAGCACGGGUGCUUGCACCUGGUGGCGAGUGGCGAACGGGUGAGUAAUACAUCGGAACAUGUCCUGUAGUGGGGGAUAGCCUGGCGAAAGCCGGAUUAAUACCGCAUACGAUCUACGGAUGAAAGCGGGGGACCUUCGGGCCUCGCGCUAUAGGGUUGGCCGAUGGCUGAUUAGCUAGUUGGUGGGGUAAAGGCCUUCCAAGGCGACGAUCAGUAGCUGGUCUGAGAGGACGACCAGCCACACUGGGACUGAGACACGGCCCAGACUCCUACGGGAGGCAGCAGUGGGGAAUUUUGGACAAUGGGCGAAAGCCUGAUCCAGCAAUGCCGCGUGUGUGAAGAAGGCCUUCGGGUUGUAAAGCACUUUUGUCCGGAAAGAAAUCCUUGGCCCUAAUACGGUCGGGGGAUGACGGUACCGGAAGAAUAAGCACCGGCUAACUACGUG
Molecule: ribosomal RNA, 486 nt
Filed under: uncultured bacterium
Lineage: Bacteria
Description: partial 16S ribosomal RNA
Rfam family: Bacterial small subunit ribosomal RNA
Source: RNAcentral